RNAcentral lists this ribosomal RNA (431 nucleotides) under uncultured Desulfobotulus sp. RNAcentral describes it as "bacterial SSU rRNA". It matches the Rfam family "Bacterial small subunit ribosomal RNA", at positions 957 to 1382 of the family's 1533-position model. The record is from RNAcentral. Lineage: Bacteria; Pseudomonadati; Thermodesulfobacteriota; Desulfobacteria; Desulfobacterales; Desulfobacteraceae.
CAACGCGCAAGAACCUUACCGUGGGCUUGAAAUCUGUGGAAUCUGUAUGAAAGUAUGGGGUGCCCUUCGGGGAGCCGCAAGACAGGUGCUGCAUGGCUGUCGUCAGCUCGUGUCGUGAGAUGUUGGGUUAAGUCCCGCAACGAGCGCAACCCUUGUCUUCAGUUGCCAGCACGUAAAGGUGGGAACUCUGAAGAUACUGCCCCGGUUAACGGGGAGGAAGGUGGGGAUGACGUCAAGUCCUCAUGGCCCUUAUGUCCAGGGCGACACACGUGCUACAAUGGCCGGCACAGCGGGAAGCGAGGCAGUGAUGUCGAGCGGAUCCCUUAAAGCCGGUCUCAGUUCGGAUUGAAGUCUGCAACUCGACUUCAUGAAGCUGGAAUCGCUAGUAAUCGCAGAUCAGCCAAGCUGCGGUGAAUACGUUCCCGGGCCUU